AAACACUUCAUCCUGGAGCCCUCGAUAUGAACCAAAUGAUGCACGGAUUCUGCUCCAAGGCUGAGAAUGCAGACUGGCCCUUCCCAGCCAGGUUCUGUAUGUUCUGGAGGGGGGAUGGAAGAAGAGGGGCUUAUGAUAUAUGUCUCUCAGCAAGAAGGAAGAGCAAAGCAGUUGUUUCCUGGAGCCUUGGAGGAGAAAAGUGGCACAGAAUUCACAGCUUCUUCACCUGGGCCUCAAAUGUUCAGUGUGACAAAUGCCAGGAGAUAGGGACAUGGGGAUUAAAAACAAGCAAAAAAAAUCAGUCUUAUUGUCCUAAUUCCCAUUUCAGAAAGCUGGGACAUUCUAGCUAUUUGAAGAGAACAGGCUUUGCCUGCCUCUAAACCAUUGCUGCAACAUGCCUGGCAUUCAUGGUGCUGACAUGGGGACAGCAAGGUGAUAUUGUUCCCUGUCUGGCCAUCCCCUCCUGGCUAUGGUGGUUAAAGCAGAUGCUCUAGAACAGGGGUUGGCAAACCAUGGCCCACAGGUCAAAUGUGGCCCAGGGCCUGUUUCUUGUCUUCUUCUUUCUUUUUUCUUUUUCUUUCUUUCUUUUUCUUCUUCUUCUUCUUCUUCUUCUUCUUCCUCUUCUUCUUCUUCUUCCUUCUUUUUUUUUUUAACUUUUAAGUUCAGGGAUAUAUGUGCAGGUUUGUUACACAGAUGAACUUGUGUCAUGGGGCUU
This 715-nucleotide long non-coding RNA is filed under the name Homo sapiens (human). RNAcentral's name for it is "HSALNT0181216". Lineage: Eukaryota; Metazoa; Chordata; Mammalia; Primates; Hominidae. The record is from RNAcentral.